Molecule: non-coding RNA, 1039 nt
Organism: Punica granatum (pomegranate)
Lineage: Eukaryota; Viridiplantae; Streptophyta; Magnoliopsida; Myrtales; Lythraceae
Source: RefSeq, a predicted model, not a curated record
UGCAUCUCAGUUCAUUUGUUCCUUUCUUUUCCUUCUUUCUCUGUGUUUUAUUUCCGGCUGGGGAGGACGAAGGAAAAACAGAGAGAGAGAGAGAGAGAGAGAGAGUUGAGUCGAGAGGACACAGUGGAGAAGAAGAAGAGGAAGGAUAGGUUCAGGGGAGUCUUCUAGCUGAGUUUUAGUUCUGUUCAGGCAACAAAGAACAGAGCAAAACAGGACUUAAGAUAGUAGAGAGACAGCGAGAGAGAGAGUGACGAUCUGAGGUGACCAAAGUCGAAGAGGAAGAGGGUCAAGAUUGGAGUUCUUGAUUGGGCCAAGGAGACCGAGACCAUACAUCCUGAAGGCUCGACUCAAUAAGAUAAUUUUGGGAGUUCGGUGAAUACUCUACUCCAUAAUAGAAUGCGGUUAUAUUCGGGAUGAAUUAGAGGCUAGACUAGCUAUAUCGGAGGACUUUUUGGACUUCGGGGAUCAUCGUGGAAAAUUUGUAGCUAGACUUGUAUAAAUAGUAGGUAUUAAGCUAUGUAUAGAAUGUUCGUGAAUAGUUACGAUCUGAAAAAUUUUAUUUAGUUGUUCAUGGGUGGUUUUGAAAAACAUGCUAGAAGUUACUUUGAAGAUGUGAUAUGCUCUUUCGAUAUAAAUAUGACGUGGUUGGCUGGGAUAGAUGUAGUUGAGAGUUUAUGGAAUUGUUUAACUGGUUUAAAUUUGGUAAAAUGGAUAUCGUGAUACUCUAAAGGAAACUUUGUAGGAUUUUCGGGUUGUGACACUGCUGCUGCAAACUUCAAUCUUUCCUCAAACUGCUCGAACCUUCCAACUUGAAAAGACUUGGUGAAAAUAUCUGUCAGCUAAUCUUCUGUUCUGCAAUAUACUAGCUUCACUUCUCCACUUUGUUGUACUUCUCGAAGAAAAUAAUACUUGACCUUGAAGUGUUUGGUCCAUCUUAGAAUAAACCCGUAUAACAUGGAGUGUUGAUUCACUCAAGCUUUUUCCAUAGCCUAAGUUCAGCAAGUGUUCAUCCAUUUAGCUGAAUUGUGUUGGUACACGA